This 410-nucleotide unclassified non-coding RNA is filed under the name soil metagenome. Its description in RNAcentral is "partial contains 5.8S ribosomal RNA, internal transcribed spacer 2, and large subunit ribosomal RNA". The stretch from base 1 to 121 matches the Rfam family "5.8S ribosomal RNA", at positions 35 to 154 of the family's 154-position model. The record is from RNAcentral.
GAUGAAGAACGCAGCGAAAUGCGAUAGGUAGUGUGAAUUGCAGAUGUAACGUGAAUCAUCGAAUCUUUGAACGCAAAUUGCACUCUCUGGUAUUCCGGGGAGUAUGCCUGUUUGAGGGUCGCCAAAUCAAAAUCGAAAUUCAUUUGCUUUUUUGUAAAUGUUUAUCGGAUUUGAGCCGUCUUUUUUUAUUUUAAUUAAAGUGGCUUAAAAUGUAUUUUUUUGGUAUCGAAAUACGUUAUUUUACGAUCAAAUUGAUUAAAAAAACAAACGUUUUCGAAUGCCGCCUUUUUAAUGUAAUACGUUUGACUGUGAUGGUUAAUCAUAGUUUCAUUCGUAUACGAUUUUUUAAUUUUUGACCUCAAAUCAGGUAAGAACACCCGCUGAACUUAAGCAUAUCAAUAAGCGGAGGA